This 468-nucleotide ribosomal RNA is filed under the name uncultured bacterium. Its description in RNAcentral is "partial 16S ribosomal RNA". It matches the Rfam family "Bacterial small subunit ribosomal RNA", at positions 28 to 507 of the family's 1533-position model. The record is from RNAcentral.
GACGAACGCUGGCGGCGUGCUUAACACAUGCAAGUCGAACGGAAAGGCCCUGCUUUUGUGGGGUGCUCGAGUGGCGAACGGGUGAGUAACACGUGAGUAACCUGCCCUUGACUUUGGGAUAACUUCAGGAAACUGGGGCUAAUACCGGAUAGGAGCUCCUGCUGCAUGGUGGGGGUUGGAAAGUUUCGGCGGUUGGGGAUGGACUCGCGGCUUAUCAGCUUGUUGGUGGGGUAGUGGCUUACCAAGGCUUUGACGGGUAGCCGGCCUGAGAGGGUGACCGGCCACAUUGGGACUGAGAUACGGCCCAGACUCCUACGGGAGGCAGCAGUGGGGAAUAUUGCACAAUGGGCGGAAGCCUGAUGCAGCAACGCCGCGUGCGGGAUGACGGCCUUCGGGUUGUAAACCGCUUUCGCCUGUGACGAAGCGUGGGUGACGGUAAUGGGUACAGAAGCACCGGCUAACUACGUG